GUGACUAGGAACCACUGCUUAUGAAACUGAUUUUAUGAUUAUGUUUUAGGAAACUUAGUAAAGGAUAAUCAUGGCUGUAAAACAGAAGAUAAACAUCUUUAAUAAUUUGUCAGCAUGAGGAAGUGCUGGUUGGAUGAUCUUGGGAAUGGCUGCCCAGUAUUAGCCUUCACCCUGCCAAUGAGCACACACAGGAGAUAAAAACCACCAACCCAGAAAAACACCAACUGUCAGAAGAGACUGACACAUGGCAACCUCGGUUAAUUCAGGCACAGAAAUGCCUUCACUGAAGCACUGGGGUCUCCUUUCUCCCUCCUCUAAACCAUUUUCUCUUGGCUUGGAAUCAUCUUUAUGCAGUCUAUCUGAGUAUUUAGAAUAUUUCCAUUUUUGUAAGUGUUCAAACUUCCAUCUUCAUCAUUAAAACCCAUAUAUAAUAGCCCUUUCCAUUUGUAUGAGUGUGCUCAACCAGCUCUUUUCCAAUAAAAGCCAUGUGCACUUUUCCUCACUCUGUAUUUCCUAAUUCCCUCAAUAAGCUCUAACAGAAUUACACCUCUAUGUGAUCUCCCAAAUGCCCAUUCCCACUAAUUCACUGGAAGGUUGCUGCUAGCUCACACUAUUUCAAGGAUCCAGGUAAUUGAUUGAUGCUGACUGGUUUUACUCCAUCUUUGCAGAAGAUUGAACAAAAAGAAAUGAGAUUAAAUCACAUCUGAGAGGAAAUUCUAAGACAGAAGGGGAAAGCUUCUCGAGUGUAUAAAUCAGAUGUUACCAUGGUUUCUAUUAAGGCUGAUAGGCUGAUAGAGAUGAUCAUGUAACCCAGCUGAUCAGAUAUAAGCAGAGAUGACUGGGAGAAGCUUCUGGGAAGUGUUUCAGCCUGCAAGACAAUUACACAUCCUUGCUGUUUAUCAUGACUCCUGCAAGCAUAGCCCAUCUCAUGGAGCCCACUUGCCAAGAAAUGUCAGCAGAAAUGACAGCGCACUCACUUAAAUAAGCUCCUGCUUAUUUAAGAGCCCUGUUCUUGUUUUUUUUUAAUCUCUGCUUCCUGAACAGUAUGUCUUAGAUGGUAUGUUACCUUCAGCCUGGAUUCCAACAUGAAGACUCAUGGAAAAGAGCCACAUGGAAUGGAGCCCCAGCCACAGGUACAACUGCAGGCCAUGGCAGAAGGAGGAGAGCUCCAACUGUCCACUGAGGACACACAAUGAGGUAAGUCUUGGCUGUUUUUUGUCCCUGAGAUUUAGGGGUUGCUUUUUCUCAUAGAUUAGAUGAUCAGCAUAACCAAUCAGCAUGUGCCCAUUCCAAGGAUGAAGAAACUAAGUCUCUGUGUGCUAGAAGAAAAGAAAUUACUAUUUACAGAGCAUUUGCUCUAAGCCGUCUACCAUUCUAGAAGCUGUCAUGAAAUCACCCUACCCCCAACUUGAUGCAGGAAAUAACUAUUUGCAUCUCAAAUACAAAAUGAGAGAGGAUGGCUCUGCGGCCUCCAAGUAAUUUUCCAGAGAUGGCAUUUUAUUUUAUACGAGUUCUACACCAUGACCUUUCACAAAAAUCUAGAUUAAUCCCUAUAAUUUUUAAUAACAUGACUGGUGUCCCAUAAAUUAUUAGUGCCAUUUUCAGAGAAGAUUGUCUUCUAGUUCAUUAAUGCCUGAAACUUUUCAUUUCAGAGAAAAAAGAACCCUUUGUAAUUUUCUAUUUUUACAUACUUGACAUUGCCUAGCCAUCAAAACAUCUUGGAAAUUUUCCAUUUUUGUUAACAAUCUUCAAUUAAAAUUUGGCUUCCUCCUACAUUGUCAUGUUUUUGAUUAAGAUGCCUAUAAUUGUAAUUUAUUAACAUACCUUUUCUAAAAGUUUAUCAGUGAUAACAGAGAUAUUCUCACAGGUUCACAGGAUUUCAACUCACUGGAGUCUAAUAUAAUUAAAGAUCAAUACUGUUGCUACCGAUGACACACAGGCAUUAUUCUGGGAAAGGAAGUGCAUGUGGAGUUUGAUAAAUGGAUUUCACAUAAAGGAAGAGCAGAAACCAAUCUAUACAGGGUCUAGGGGAGACAUUUGAGUUCAAGUUCUCCCAAAGAGAAGGGCCACAGUGAAACACUGCACAAAAAGAGUGAGGAUACACUGGACACAGACCAGCUUUGCAAGCACUGAAGCCCUGAUAUGAAUCCUCUCAACAGAUGAAAGGAUUAAGCUGACCUUUCCAGAGGAGCUGUCUGCAAAAGCUAAGGAAAAUCUUCCCAGGAGAAAAAUAACAAUGCCCAGAGCCUCAGAUUUCCUCUAAAAUCCAUCAUAAGCAAUUCCUGGCACAAAAAAAAAAAAAAAAAAACCAUAAAGGAGGACAAGAUGUAUCUGAAAAAAGGAAAAAAAUAAUGGAAACAAAUUCACAAGAGAUACAAAAAUAUUGAAACAUCUAAAACAUAAAAGAAAACCAUUGUUAAGUUCAGUCAUGAAAAGGUAGAAGAUCUCCGCAGAGAACUGGAAUGUAGAUAAUAAAUGAAAAGCCUAUAACUGAAAGAUAAAACAUCAUGAACUGAGUGUACAAUUGGUAGACUUACCAGGAGGGACACACAACUGAGGGGACAAUUAGUGAAUCGGAACAUCACAAGAAAGUACACAGGCUGAAAUGUAGUGAACCAAAAUGAUUUUUUAAAAAUACAGAAAAGCACACCCAAGACACAUGGGAUAUGAUGAAAUGACACAAGAAGAGCAGGAAAUAAAGCAGAAGCAAUAUUUGAAGAAAUUAAAGCAAAAGCUUUCCCAACAAUGAUAAAAAAAUACCAAUCAGUGCUACAAGCUCCAAGACAAAAAAAAAAAAAAAAAAGAUAA
Non-coding RNA from Oryctolagus cuniculus (rabbit), 2808 nucleotides. Lineage: Eukaryota; Metazoa; Chordata; Mammalia; Lagomorpha; Leporidae. The record is from RefSeq and is a predicted model, not a curated record.